UACGUAGGGUGCGAGCGUUGUCCGGAAUUAUUGGGCGUAAAGAGCUCGUAGGCGGUGUGUCACGUCGGCCGUGAAAACCUGCAGCUUAACUGUGGGCGUGCGGUCGAUACGGGCAUCACUGGAGUUCGGCAGGGGGGACUGGAAUUCCUGGUGUAGCGGUGAAAUGCGCAGAUAUCAGGAGGAACACCGGUGGCGAAGGCGGGUCUCUGGGCCGAUACUGACGCUGAGGAGCGAAAGCGUGGGGAGCAAACAGG
This 254-nucleotide ribosomal RNA is filed under the name uncultured bacterium. Its description in RNAcentral is "partial 16S ribosomal RNA". It matches the Rfam family "Bacterial small subunit ribosomal RNA", at positions 524 to 776 of the family's 1533-position model. The record is from RNAcentral.